Molecule: small RNA, 493 nt
Filed under: Rattus norvegicus (Norway rat)
Lineage: Eukaryota; Metazoa; Chordata; Mammalia; Rodentia; Muridae
Description: uncharacterized LOC103690921
Source: RNAcentral
ACCCACACUUCCGUUGCCGAGAUGCUUGUCUGCGACGGAUGCCCGAAAGAGACAAACUUUGCUGCCUGGCUCAAGGCAGUUUAAAUGUGAAGAACGUGAGUCUUCUAUGUUGCACACUCCUCCAGCGCUCUCUGCUGCUGAAGUGCAGAGCCUCGUUCCCAUAGACAGCAAAGCCCAACACUCCAAGGAAGAACAUCCGCACUGAGCCGAAGAAGAGAGUGUGGAACUGGCCGAUCACGAGUCUGAAGAUACGGAGAGAAAUGUCUUCUUCUGCUCACCAUCCACAGAGAGCUCUGAAGCAGACCUGUGAGCUCUCGAUUCUUGCUCCCGAGCUGAAAGAGCAGGACACAGCUAUCACUGUUGCACAACGAGUUUGAAAUUCACGUGGGAAAAUAUUGCCAGCUGGAGACUUUAUUGCUUAACAGAAAGGGUUCCCAGAUCCACAGCCAGCUACGGUCAGAAAUGAUGUCAGACCCUUCAGAACUGGACAUAG